Molecule: ribosomal RNA, 491 nt
Filed under: uncultured Paludibacter sp.
Lineage: Bacteria; Pseudomonadati; Bacteroidota; Bacteroidia; Bacteroidales; Paludibacteraceae
Description: bacterial SSU rRNA
Rfam family: Bacterial small subunit ribosomal RNA
Source: RNAcentral
GCUCAGAAACUUAAAGGAAUUGACGGGGGCCCGCACAAGCGGAGGAACAUGUGGUUUAAUUCGAUGAUACGCGAGGAACCUUACCCGGGCUUGAAAUGCAUCUGACCGGUCUGGAAACAGGCCUUCUAGCAAUAGCAGAUGUGUAGGUGCUGCAUGGUUGUCGUCAGCUCGUGCCGUGAGGUGUCGGCUUAAGUGCCAUAACGAGCGCAACCCUUAUCAUUAGUUGCCAGCGGGUCAUGCCGGGAACUCUAAUGAGACUGCCACCGUAAGGUGUGAGGAAGGUGGGGAUGACGUCAAAUCAGCACGGCCCUUACGUCCGGGGCGACACACGUGUUACAAUGGUAGGUACAGAGGGGCGCUAUCCAGCGAUGGAGUGCGAAUCUCAAAAACCUAUCUCAGUUCGGAUCGGAGUCUGCAACUCGACUCCGUGAAGUUGGAUUCGCUAGUAAUCGCGCAUCAGCCAUGGCGCGGUGAAUACGUUCCCGGGCCUU